This 93-nucleotide transfer RNA is filed under the name Telmatospirillum sp. Its description in RNAcentral is "tRNA-Ser". It matches the Rfam family "tRNA". Rfam says of the family: Transfer RNA (tRNA) molecules are approximately 80 nucleotides in length. Lineage: Bacteria; Pseudomonadati; Pseudomonadota; Alphaproteobacteria; Rhodospirillales; Rhodospirillaceae. The record is from RNAcentral.
GGAAGGGUGGGUGAGUGGCUUAAACCAGCGGUUUGCUAAACCGUCGUAGUCUGUCAAGGACUACCGGGGGUUCGAAUCCCCCCCCUUCCGCCA